GACGAACGCUGGCGGCGUGCUUAACACAUGCAAGUCGAACGUGAUUUUUGUGGAAAUUCUUUCGGGAAUGGAAAUGAAAUGAAAGUGGCGAACGGGUGAGUAACACGUGAGCAACCUACCUUACACAGGGGGAUAGCCGUUGGAAACGACGAUUAAUACCGCAUGAGACCACAGAAUCGCAUGAUAUAGGGGUCAAAGAUUUAUCGGUGUAAGAAGGGCUCGCGUCUGAUUAGCUAGUUGGAAGGGUAAAGGCCUACCAAGGCGACGAUCAGUAGCCGGUCUGAGAGGAUGAACGGCCACAUUGGAACUGAGACACGGUCCAAACUCCUACGGGAGGCAGCAGUGGGGAAUAUUGCACAAUGGGGGGAACCCUGAUGCAGCGACGCCGCGUGAGCGAAGAAGGUUUUCGAAUCGUAAAGCUCUGUCCUAUGAGAAGAUAAUGACGGCAUCAUAGGAGGAAGCCCCGGCUAAAUACGUG
Molecule: ribosomal RNA, 478 nt
Filed under: uncultured bacterium
Lineage: Bacteria
Description: partial 16S ribosomal RNA
Rfam family: Bacterial small subunit ribosomal RNA
Source: RNAcentral